CAGGCUCUGGCCAUACUCCAAGACUCAGAAGAUCGAUCCUGGGUAUGACCAGAGCCCGACUGU
Molecule: microRNA precursor, 63 nt
Filed under: Mesocricetus auratus (golden hamster)
Lineage: Eukaryota; Metazoa; Chordata; Mammalia; Rodentia; Cricetidae
Description: miRNA (ENSMAUG00000007474.1)
Source: RNAcentral